CUGGGCUGCACCAACAGAGGGGUGGGCAACAGGUGGAGAGAGAUAAGAUUACUUCACAACAAUUACUUUGCCACAAAGAGGAGAGUUUCUACAAGUGCACAAAAAGAUGCUGGGUACUUGUUAUUCCAGCCAGACAAAAGCACAGCUGCAGCAGUAUCAAGAACCACUCUUUGUCCUCUACAAAAGGAGAAGAAACAAGGAAGGUAGCAGAAAGAAGAGGCCAAGGGUCACCGCAGGAGAAGCGAGGACUGCGCGAUGGUCGCAGCCAGUGCCUGUAGCCCUUGGGAGCAGCACCUGCUCUUGGCUUUGCAGGGCGCUUCUUUGGUGAUGCUGGGCAAGUUAAGCUGUGUGCUGUAAAUUCCUCGUCUGGGAAAUGGAGCAAAGCUAUUUUUAGUACUCCUAGGAGUCUAAAACAGAGCUAGAUACGAUUAACGUACACUUAUGGAGAUUACCAAGAGUUAAGAGUAGAGGUCAAAACCCCAUGGUGCUCACGCUCUCUUUUAGCCUAGAGUGAAUACAUUUUUGAGGCGAAGGAUGGGGGAAAAAUGGGGAGUGUUUUGUUUGUCUGAAAUAUUUUGGGACUUAAAAAACACAAACAUUUAAACAAUGCUUUGAAGAGAUUACAGCCACUGCCCAAAGUUUUGUUCUUCCAAAAAAGUCCUUUGUUCAAGGAGACUCCUGCAAAAAUGUGUCUUCUGAGAACAGGGCACUUUU
Cygnus olor (mute swan) is the source of this 714-nucleotide long non-coding RNA. RefSeq lists it as uncharacterized. The record is from RefSeq and is a predicted model, not a curated record. Lineage: Eukaryota; Metazoa; Chordata; Aves; Anseriformes; Anatidae. The transcript has 3 exons.